This 703-nucleotide long non-coding RNA is filed under the name Nicotiana benthamiana. Its description in RNAcentral is "long non-coding RNA (NBEN_LNC019843)". Lineage: Eukaryota; Viridiplantae; Streptophyta; Magnoliopsida; Solanales; Solanaceae. The record is from RNAcentral.
CCAACUAUUUGAAAAUUCAAAAUUCAAAUUCUAUAGCGUAGAGAAACUUGAAAAUUUCGAAUUUAGAUCCAAAAAAACACAGUGAAAACCCAAAAAUUUUCUGUUAAGAAAUAGAUAGUUUAAAUACAAAGCAUUAGAUCCUACAAAUCCAAAAAGAAAAUCCUGAAAAUCAACAAAAGAUGGUGCAGAAAUCAUUUCCAGAUCAGUUGUUUAUUUAGUUGCACUGGUUCAACAAGUUUGGUCUUCAGAUUCAAUUGGUUAUUAGUAAGUGGAAGCUGUUUUGGAAUUUGCUGCAUUGUAUCUGGUUUCUCCUGGGUAUAAAGCUUGGCAUCUGCUGAGAUCUGCUAGAUUUUAACUUGCUGUUGCGUGCCUGUUUAGAUGACCUCUAUUUUUCCUCAUUUUGUUCUAAAUUCCAGGUACGAUCCCUCAACGUUGGUGACAUAGUAUGUGAUUCCAGAUUUGAAAUGAAGCUCAGUUGCUGUCUUCAAUUUUGUUUUAUGCCAGUUACAUCUCUUCUGUUACUUGCAUUUACUCGUAUGUAUUAGCUUAGCCAAACUCUGUUUAAGUAGUUAAGUUUCUCAUGCUGUACUUAAACACGAACUCUGAAAACUGUGAUGUAUUUGGAUCCUGUGGUUUGUGUUGUUUAAUGUUACAAAGUUGAUAGCUGUGUAACAAUUCGUUCAGACUGUAGUUAAUCGAGUUA